AAGAAAUCGUUGAUGAGGUUAAAGUAAAUAGAAACUUGUAUUUCCAGAGAAUCGGUCAUGGUGGAAGCCGAUAAUACAACUAUUUACGACAUCCCCUCGGAGAGGAUUACUAAAAGGGCAACCGAUUAGGUAAUCCCGGGCAUUGCAGUAGCCGUGCUCGUUAGCAGUGAAUAGAUGAUCUAUUCAAGAGGCAGCAAUUUGCUGCGAAUCAGGGUGGUACCAUGGAAAAGCUUUUUCAUCCCUAUG
This 246-nucleotide non-coding RNA is filed under the name Sporosarcina sp. RNAcentral describes it as "T-box sequence". It matches the Rfam family "T-box leader". From Rfam's summary of the family: Uncharged tRNA acts as the effector for transcription antitermination of genes in the T-box leader family. The record is from RNAcentral. Lineage: Bacteria; Bacillati; Bacillota; Bacilli; Caryophanales; Caryophanaceae.